CCUACGGGAGGCAGCAGUGGGGGAUUUUGGACAAUGGGGGCAACCCUGAUCCAGCGACGCCGCGUGAGUGAUGAAGUAUCUCGGUAUGUAAAGCUCUGUCAGAAGGGAAGAAAGAAAUGACGGUACCUGAUCAAUAAGCCGCGGCUAACUACGUGCUAGCAGCCGCGGUAAUACGUAGGGGGCAAGCGUUAUCCGGAAUUACUGGGUGUAAAGGGAGUGUAGACGGUGAUGCAAGUCUGGAGUGAAAGGCGGGGGCCCAACCCGCGGACUGCUCAGGAAACUGUGUAACUUGAGUGCAGGAGAGGGAAGCGGAAUUCCUAGUGUAGCGGUGAAAUGCGUAGAUAUGAGGAGGAACACCAGUGGCGAAGGCGGCUUACUGGACUGUAACUGACGUUGAGGCUCGAAAGCGUGGGGAGCAAACAGGAUUAGAUACCCUAGUAGUC
RNAcentral lists this ribosomal RNA (443 nucleotides) under uncultured bacterium. Its description in RNAcentral is "partial 16S ribosomal RNA". It matches the Rfam family "Bacterial small subunit ribosomal RNA", at positions 338 to 795 of the family's 1533-position model. The record is from RNAcentral.